RNAcentral lists this ribosomal RNA (717 nucleotides) under uncultured bacterium. Its description in RNAcentral is "bacterial SSU rRNA". It matches the Rfam family "Bacterial small subunit ribosomal RNA", at positions 59 to 777 of the family's 1533-position model. The record is from RNAcentral.
CAGUCGAACGGGAAACCUUUUAUUGAAGCUUCGGCAGAUUUAGAUUGUUUCUAGUGGCGGACGGGUGAGUAACGCGUGGGUAACCUGUCUUAUACAGGGGGAUAACAGUCAGAAAUGACUGCUAAUACCGCAUAAGCGCACAGAGCUGCAUGGCUCAGUGUGAAAAACUCCGGUGGUAUAAGAUGGACCCGCGUUGGAUUAGCUGGUUGGUGAGGUAACGGCCCACCAAGGCGACGAUCCAUAGCCGGCCUGAGAGGGUGAACGGCCACAUUGGGACUGAGACACGGCCCAGACUCCUACGGGAGGCAGCAGUGGGGAAUAUUGCACAAUGGGGGAAACCCUGAUGCAGCGACGCCGCGUGAAGGAAGAAGUAUCUCGGUAUGUAAACUUCUAUCAGCAGGGAAGAAAAUGACGGUACCUGACUAAGAAGCCCCGGCUAACUACGUGCCAGCAGCCGCGGUAAUACGUAGGGGGCAAGCGUUAUCCGGAUUUACUGGGUGUAAAGGGAGCGUAGACGGAUGGACAAGUCUGAUGUGAAAGGCUGGGGCUCAACCCCGGGACUGCAUUGGAAACUGCCCGUCUUGAGUGCCGGAGAGGUAAGCGGAAUUCCUAGUGUAGCGGUGAAAUGCGUAGAUAUUAGGAGGAACACCAGUGGCGAAGGCGGCUUACUGGACAGUAACUGACGUUGAGGCUCGAAAGCGUGGGGAGCAAACAGGA